Molecule: ribosomal RNA, 428 nt
Filed under: uncultured Pseudomonas sp.
Lineage: Bacteria; Pseudomonadati; Pseudomonadota; Gammaproteobacteria; Pseudomonadales; Pseudomonadaceae
Description: bacterial SSU rRNA
Rfam family: Bacterial small subunit ribosomal RNA
Source: RNAcentral
AAGCAACGCGAAGAACCUUACCAGGCCUUGACAUGCAGAGAACUUUCCAGAGAUGGAUUGGUGCCUUCGGGAACGUCUGACACAGGUGCUGCAUGGCUGCGUCAGCUCGUGUCGUGAGAUGUUGGGUUAAGUCCGUAACGAGCGCAACCCUUGUCCUUAGUUACCAGCACGUUAUGGUGGGCACUCUAAGGAGACUGCCGGUGACAAACCGGAGGAAGGUGGGGAUGACGUCAAGUCAUCAUGGCCCUUACGGCCUGGGCUACACACGUGCUACAAUGGUCGGUACAAAGGGUUGCCAAGCCGCGAGGUGGAGCUAAUCCCAUAAAACCGAUCGUAGUCCGGAUCGCAGUCUGCAACUCGACUGCGUGAAGUCGGAAUCGCUAGUAAUCGUGAAUCAGAAUGUCACGGUGAAUACGUUCCCGGGCCUU